RNAcentral lists this transfer RNA (73 nucleotides) under Cognatishimia maritima. RNAcentral's name for it is "Thalassobius sp. GSW-6 tRNA". It matches the Rfam family "tRNA". Rfam says of the family: Transfer RNA (tRNA) molecules are approximately 80 nucleotides in length. Lineage: Bacteria; Pseudomonadati; Pseudomonadota; Alphaproteobacteria; Rhodobacterales; Paracoccaceae. The record is from Rfam by way of RNAcentral.
GGGCCGUUAGCUCAGUUGGUAGAGCAACUGACUUUUAAUCAGUAGGUCGAAGGUUCGAACCCUUCACGGCUCA